This 253-nucleotide unclassified non-coding RNA is filed under the name uncultured Solibacteraceae bacterium. RNAcentral's name for it is "contains 16S-23S intergenic spacer region". It matches the Rfam family "Bacterial small subunit ribosomal RNA", at positions 524 to 776 of the family's 1533-position model. The record is from RNAcentral. Lineage: Bacteria; Pseudomonadati; Acidobacteriota; Terriglobia; Bryobacterales; Solibacteraceae.
UACGUAGGCAGCGAGCGUUGUUCGGAGUUACUGGGCGUAAAGAGUGCGUAGGCGGUUCUUUAAGUUUGGCGUGAAAUCUCCCGGCUCAACUGGGAGGGUGCGUCGAAAACUGGGGGACUAGAGUACGGGAGAGGAGAGCGGAAUUCCUGGUGUAGCGGUGAAAUGCGUAGAUAUCAGGAGGAACACCCGCGGUGUAGACGGCUCUCUGGACCGUAACUGACGCUGAGGCACGAAAGCGUGGGGAGCAAACAGG